Molecule: ribosomal RNA, 274 nt
Filed under: uncultured bacterium
Lineage: Bacteria
Description: partial 16S ribosomal RNA
Rfam family: Bacterial small subunit ribosomal RNA
Source: RNAcentral
AUACGGAGGGUGCAAGCGUUACUCGGAAUCACUGGGCGUAAAGCGCGCGCAGGCGGGCUGAUAAGUUGGAUGUGAAAGCCUACGGCUCAACCGUAGAACUGCAUCCAAAACUGUCAGUCUAGAGUGUGGGAGAGGAAGAUGGAAUUAGUUGUGUAGGGGUAAAAUCCGUAGAGAUAACUAGGAAUACCAAAAGCGAAGGCAAUCUUCUGGAACACUACUGACGCUGAGGCGCGAAGGCGUGGGGAGCAAACAGGAUUAGAUACCCUGGUAGUCC